Molecule: non-coding RNA, 29 nt
Filed under: Homo sapiens (human)
Lineage: Eukaryota; Metazoa; Chordata; Mammalia; Primates; Hominidae
Source: RNAcentral
UGCAAAUAGCCCAGUUGUACAGGGAGUUG